GGGGAUGUAGCUCAGCUGGGAGAGCGGCGGCUUUGCAAGCCGUAGGUCGAGGGUUCGAAUCCCUUCAUCUCCA
This 73-nucleotide transfer RNA is filed under the name Candidatus Zixiibacteriota bacterium. Its description in RNAcentral is "tRNA-Ala". It matches the Rfam family "tRNA". Rfam says of the family: Transfer RNA (tRNA) molecules are approximately 80 nucleotides in length. The record is from RNAcentral. Lineage: Bacteria; Pseudomonadati; Candidatus Zixiibacteriota. RNAcentral also lists the same sequence under 1 other name.